GGGGCGGGUCCCCGCUGGGGCUCGCGCGGAGGCCCCGCGCCGGCGCAUGCGCCUUCCGGGCGCUCGCCGUGGCGGGUGGGGCCCUGCCCGUAACGGUCGGCGGCGCUUAGUCAGGGCGGCGCGCGAGGUGCUGCCGCGGGGCUCCGGGGAAGCCGUUAAACCGGGAGAAGGAGCCGGCCGCCCACCCUCAGACGGACAGCCUGGGGCGGGCCCCCGUGCUCCUGCGCCCUCGGCGCCUGCUGUGCCUCACGCGGUAAGCGCCGUCCCCGAAGCGGGGGUAAAGCCAGCAAGCCUGUGCUCUCUGCUAAGCCUCCAGGAACCAUACGAGAGAUGAAGAUACCAGGAAGAAUGUCCACAUCAAUGAUAGAAGACACUGGUCUAAAAUCAUGAGGCAUGCUGAUGUUAAUAUGAGGACGCCGGCGGAGGUUGUCAUUGCGAAGUGUCACCAGAGCCUUCUUCUUCCUUGACAGUGUGUUGGUACCAAAAUUACUGUAGUCCACUUCAUCUGAAAAAGAAGCAAUACCAUUGUAUCAAUCAUACAGAGAAUAAUUCAAUCUAGAGGGCAUUUUCCUCUUAAACCUGGUUUAGUGAAGUCACAUUCCUCAAAGUCUGGAGGACAUCAAAUGAAUUCUUCUGCUUAUCCUAACCCUUGUUUUAUUUUAUGCCUAUCAGCACAUCAUUGAGACUGAACAACAGUUGUUUUCAAUGAUUAUCCAUAUUGGCAGGGGGGCACCCUUUUGAUUCUCAGCUCCUGUUGUCAGUUGUGCAGAAUGCAAUUACUUGCAGCUGCAAGUCUGAUAUAGCAUCUUAUAUCUGAGACCAUGAUUUCAAAGUUGGAUUGAAAUUUUAUACAUACAUCUCAAACAAGCAAAACACAUUCUUAAUGUAAAAAUCUGAACUGGAGAGUAUUUCAAUAUCCAGUACACAGACUUAACUGAUAGCAGACCUUAGUACAAAUGUUAAGGCAGGGUGGGAAAGAGGACUUGGGUAUGUGCUUGUCCCAGAUAUCUUUUUAGGAAGAGAUUUAUGUUAAUAUGCAUCUUUCAUUACUGUACUUUUCACUUUGGAAUCUCUUCAUUAAUUUCAGCUGAAUUUGACAGCAAUAAAAAGUGCUAAAAAUAGUUUCGUGAAAAUCAGUGUCCAGGUAAAAAGAGAAGCAGGGAGGAAGAAACUGCUGUGUUGCCCAGUCCAUUUGCUAGAGAUCAGAGAACACACACUCCUACCCUUGAGGAUAAAAUCUAUAGGAAAACAGGCUUUGUGGGUUCUGGUGUUCCAGGAAUUGUUUAAAUGUUUCAGUCUCUGGCUUUUCCCUCAAGGUCAUGUGCCAGGCCAUGAACUUUAAAUCAACUAAGUAGCAUGAAAGUGUCCACUGACAAGUUAUUACAUAUAAGAGCGUUGGGUUGUGAUAUGCAGGAGUAAAUAUGUUACAAAGUUGUUAACAUAGAAAAUGUAUCACUGCAGCUUACUUUAAGAAUACAGUGCAUCAUAUUUUAAACAUGUGGCAUGCACUAGCUGGAAAAACAUUUCACCAGGAGUUUAAACAUGCUAACCUCUUCAGAUAAAAGGUAACAGACCUUCAGCUUAUUCUACUGUUAAGCACUGAAACAGAAAAGUACUAUGAGAAUUUUUUCUCUCCUAUAUUUUGAUCCUGCAUAAUAAUAUUUGAGAAAGUAAGACAAUACCUGUAUCAAACAAAAAUUAAAGUGUGUUAGUAAAAACAA
This is a long non-coding RNA of Dromaius novaehollandiae (emu), 1721 nucleotides long. RefSeq lists it as uncharacterized. NCBI's taxonomy places the organism in Eukaryota, Metazoa, Chordata, Aves, Casuariiformes, Dromaiidae. The transcript has 3 exons. The record is from RefSeq and is a predicted model, not a curated record.